Molecule: long non-coding RNA, 694 nt
Organism: Mesocricetus auratus (golden hamster)
Lineage: Eukaryota; Metazoa; Chordata; Mammalia; Rodentia; Cricetidae
Exons: 3
Source: RefSeq, a predicted model, not a curated record
GGGACCUGCAGGGCGAACCCUGCUCCUUUUGCCUCCGCCACCUGCUUCCUCCCUGCCAAGAUGCGUCCGUACAGAGUAGCAGCAGAGCCGGAGUCACACGCUCUCUCUCUUUCUCUAAGUUCCUUCUUGGAGUGUGGGAGCUCCGAUGGGCAUGAAGAGAACCCAACCUGAUUAACUUGCUGUUGCUUGCUGAGAAAACCCUGUUUACAUAGAACCAGCUUAUUGGCUCCAAGUGAUUAUUAGUAGGCAAGAAGCGAAGGAGAGAAGAGGACUCAAGACGUCACUUUCUUACACCUGAGAGUGCCGGGUUAGGGGCUCCAAUCUGUGACGUGUCAAACAUGCAAGACUGCCCCCCACCUCGACCCUGCUGAUGUCUGGCUGCCUGUGCGUGCAGGUGGGCACGCUGGGAUUCUCCCAGAUGACGGUCUCCAGCCUCGACAGAAUCCUUUAUGCAAGAGGGAGGCCCCUGCCCGGGUGCUGAUGCAUUUCUGCCGGGAUCGAUGCUCUGGAGCCUACAUAUGUUGGAACCAUUUUCUCGUCCCCUUCAGUGCUGAGAGAUGAGGGUUGAGUGCGUGUCUCAGAAAGCGACCUUGUGACCCACAGUGAACACUAUCGCUCGAACAGAAGCAGGGUUGCCCUUGGUCCGUGGAGGAAGAAGACCAGUGAAUGUGCUGGGUCAAUCCUGAGACUCACA